Long non-coding RNA from Talpa occidentalis (Iberian mole), 502 nucleotides. RefSeq lists it as uncharacterized. The record is from RefSeq and is a predicted model, not a curated record. The transcript has 3 exons. Lineage: Eukaryota; Metazoa; Chordata; Mammalia; Eulipotyphla; Talpidae.
GCCGAUGCAGCCGCGCCCGGUGGGAUUCCACGUCGUGGCGGGAACCGGCAGCCCCAGUUGCAAAUACACGGCGCUUUGCAUCUUUAAAGGAAACUUUAGAAGUUUUAAUCGAAAGGCGUUUUUUAAAUGGACAGAGGACGUUUGGAGCUAAUUUGGAAUUAGGACGUUUGGACUGAAUUUGGAAGUUUCCGAUCAAGGUGUUUGCGCAGACUUUACUGCUGAGCCUAUGCACGUGGGUGUCAGGGGAGACGUUCAGGCAUCUAGAUGCAGACUUUUAUCCAGGUACUUGGGGGGUUUGAAGAUUAGCCGCAACCUGGGCUGGGCGCUCACUCCUGUGAACAGGAUACUAACCUCUUUCAUAGAAUUGAUUGGACUACUUGAACCGUAGGCUCUUGGGAGGAACUUCAGAUUUUUCAUUUUCGAAGAAACUCUAAAUGAAUGAGAAAUUUACAGAAUGGAGACUGAAAAGGAAAAUCUCUUUUUUGAGCCUCAUAAAGGGGAC